This is a long non-coding RNA of Centropristis striata (black sea bass), 2549 nucleotides long. RefSeq lists it as uncharacterized. NCBI's taxonomy places the organism in Eukaryota, Metazoa, Chordata, Actinopteri, Perciformes, Serranidae. The record is from RefSeq and is a predicted model, not a curated record. The transcript has 3 exons.
AAAACGCUCAAAACAGCUGUGUGGAAACUACAGCGGCACUGUUUAACCCGUAAUACUAAGCCUUGUGAAGUAAAGUUAGGUGUAUAAAAAGCUUUGUAAAACAAAAACAUGCGUUGACUGGUUAACUGUCGCAAAUGUACUAAAACAGGACAAUAUUACCAAAGCAUUUCGGCUCAUUUUGUAUCAGUGUCUACUAGCAUAAGUAACACUCAAAAUGAGCCCGCAGCAAGAGUGCUUUAUGGUCCAAACUGACAGGCCGGCAUUGAUGCCAGGCGUGCAGUUUCCUCAUCAACCUGUGGAGGGACAAAGGGGUCAGGGGAGAGACAAAGACAGAGAUAGGGGCCCAUACCAGUCAGUAAAGGAUUUUAACUGCUGUAAUCGGAGGUCGAGCAGGGGGAGAGAAAGAGGGCAGCCAUCUUGGAUAUCUCAUCUUCGCGUGACAAGAUAGAUUACAGACACAUUCCUCUGACUUAAGCAUUUCACGUUCCCUGGCAAACAUUAUUACAGGUAAUAUUAUCUACUUGGUGAAUCUUUAAUGAUUCCCCUGGGAAUAACAGAGGAACAAAAAAAAACUAAAAAAAUUAGCUGAUGGUUUUGCUAUGAAGUGAUGAAUUGCACUGGUAAUUCAUUUUUCGUGGUCAAGUGUGUGUGGUAUUACGACUGAAAUAAGACCAGUUACUGCUCAUCCACAUGUCACAGAUUUACUUGUUUGGUGCUUUAAAAUGGGUCAUAUAGGCCAGUUAAUUUUUUCACCAGAAUCUUUUAAUAUGUUUAGGGCAAAGUGGUUAUUUACCUCUGUCAUAUUCCCUAAACACAGCUUUUAAGCCUUGUGGUUACAUAGACACAAUCCACAUGUACCUUGUUACCAGUGCCCAUUGCUAAUGACCGCUAACUGGUAAAAAUGUUUGUUUCAUGUGAUGGAAGUACAUAUUUCUCCCUGACAUUGUGGAAUAAAAGUAUUUUGAAAAUAACUUGAUUACAAAAUAUCAUAGUUUUGUAAACACAUAUGAAUUGCAACUGGUUUUAUACACAAUGUUGUGUAUUUUAGAAUUUGGAGCAUUCAGUCAGCUGAUUGCACUGUUCAAUGCCAGCUGUGUUAUAGGAACAGUACAAGAGGAACAUACACAGAUAAGAGUAUUGUUUUGUAGUCUGUAAAUCUAGCAACUGCCCGAUCAGGGAAAAUGAACACAUUUUUUUCCAGCACUGAUGAGGGCAAUAAGGCAAAGAGUGAGCCAUCUUGCUUCCUUUUACACACAGUACACACAGUACACAGUACUGAUUGAGCACUUGUGUGAUUAUGGCGGUGGGUCACGUUCAAGUUUAUAAGCUUUGAGAGCAAGGUGCAAAAAUACACAUCUUGCCUUCCUAUUUGCAUUUUUCUUAUUUGACAACCGGCUGCAGUGGAUAAACAUUAACAUUGAAUCCUUUGUGUGAACAGACUACGUCCAUGUGAGCCUGAGGGUGUAGCCAAUUCAUUGCAUUUGCCUGGCAAGCAACCAUAUAAACUGGUAACAGGCAAGUUUAAAAUUCCUAGUGAUUUGGGUAAAACUCCCUGUAUGAUCUGUGAGUCUUCCUGUACAUGGUUCUCGAAGUUUGUCAGCCACAUUCAUCAGGCUGAUAUAUGUAAAGUCAAGUUGACCUUGAUAAAGGGAAUUUAUUUGCUGGUAGUUGGUGGCAUUUUGAGUUCUGUAAUUACUGUAUUUGUAAGUGUAAGCACAAGUUAAGUUCUUGCUUUAGACAUGUUGUUGUUCAACCCUGCAUGACGGUCAGUCUUUGUGGUAUUUUUUGUGACCCUCUACUGUGAUUGAACGACUGGGUGACAGUGACAAGCAUAAGCGGCAGUCUAUUAAAGUAAAAAAUAAACACAGAUUGUGCAGUGCUCAGUGCAUAUCGACGCUCAGCGACUCCUCAUGCUGCUGCCGUUUGUAGCAUAGUGUAAAACACAGCGCUCCCAUAGCAAACGAUUUGAUGCAAAAUUUGCAAUCCUUAGGAGAAAAAAAGGCUGCCAGGUGGAGUGUAGUACUUAGUUAGUAGGCAUUAUUUUACUCGACCAAGAUUUUCUUUGGUUGACUGUAGCCCUACAUGGUAGACUGGAUAGCCUAUUUUAUGUCUGAGUGGACUUCUUCUUGAAUCAACUAUAAACAGAACCACAACCUGUUAACUCAUUUUCCAAUGCAUAGCUUUAUGUUUACUAAAACCUUUGCAUAUGGUUUCCUAGGCAUGUAAUACAUAAACCUCUGGAUAGUCUGGCCACAUACUGUUAUGUUGAGGUAGGCGUAGAAAUACCAUAUCAAUUAAAUUGUAACAUCCUCUGUUAUUUGUUUAAUUUGCUAAUACUGUUUUUUGUCUAGACUUGGUAUUGUACUAACAGUCAAUUACAUAAGUGCAAGCAGUACUAUAAAUACAAAUAUUUUACCAUUUGUAGUGUUCAAGCUUUGUAGAUUAAAAGUGGAAUGUAGGUAACAAAAACAUUACAGUAUGCUCGUUAAUCUGUUUACGUUCACCAAAUCUCAAGCAAACACUGUACAUAAAUACAAAUCUAUAAAUAU